RNAcentral lists this ribosomal RNA (1445 nucleotides) under uncultured Bacteroidales bacterium. RNAcentral describes it as "bacterial SSU rRNA". It matches the Rfam family "Bacterial small subunit ribosomal RNA". Lineage: Bacteria; Pseudomonadati; Bacteroidota; Bacteroidia; Bacteroidales. The record is from RNAcentral.
GAUGAACGCUAGCGACAGGCCUAACACAUGCAAGUCGAGGGGUAAGGCGGGAGCUUGCUCCCGCUGACCACCAGCGCACGGGUGAGUAACACGUAUGCAACCUGCCCCGGAGAACGGAAUAGCCUCCCGAAAGGGAGAUUAACGCCGUAUGGCGCGGAUGCCCCGCAUGAGGCGUCCGCUAAAUGCGAAGCUCCGGGAUGGGCAUGCGCUCCAUUAGGUAGUAGGCGGGGUAACGGCCCACCCAGCCGUCGAUGGAUAGGGGUCCUGAGAGGGAGGUCCCCCACACUGGUACUGAGACACGGACCAGACUCCUACGGGAGGCAGCAGUGAGGAAUAUUGGUCAAUGGGCGGAAGCCUGAACCAGCCAUGUCGCGUGCAGGACUACGGCCCUACGGGUCUUAAACUGCUUUUGCGGGGGGAUAAAGUGCGCCACGGGUGGCGUCUUGCAGGUACCCCGCGAAUAAGCAUCGGCUAACUCCGUGCCAGCAGCCGCGGUAAUACGGAGGAUGCGAGCGUUAUCCGGAUUUAUUGGGUUUAAAGGGUGCGUAGGCGGGCCGUUAAGUCAGCGGUGAAAGGCGGCGGCUCAACCGUCGGACUGCCGUUGAAACUGGCGGCCUUGAGUGCGUUUGAAGUGGGCGGAAUGUGCGGUGUAGCGGUGAAAUGCAUAGAUAUCGCACAGAACGCCGAUUGCGAAGGCAGCCCACUAAGCCGCAACUGACGCUGAGGCACGAAAGCGCGGGGAUCGAACAGGAUUAGAUACCCUGGUAGUCCGCGCAGUAAACGAUGGAUGCUCGCCGUCCGCGAUACAAUGCGGGUGGCCAAGCGAAAGCGUUAAGCAUCCCACCUGGGGAGUACGCCGGCAACGGUGAAACUCAAAGGAAUUGACGGGGGCCCGCACAAGCGGAGGAACAUGUGGUUUAAUUCGAUGAUACGCGAGGAACCUUACCCGGGCUUGAAAGUUAGCGACGGGCCGCGAAAGCGGCCUUCCCCUCGGGGCGCGAAACUAGGUGCUGCAUGGUUGUCGUCAGCUCGUGCCGUGAGGUGUCGGCUUAAGUGCCAUAACGAGCGCAACCCCUUCCGCCAGUUACUAGCGGGUCAUGCCGAGGACUCUGGCGGGACUGCCGCCGCAAGGUGCGAGGAAGGCGGGGAUGACGUCAAAUCAGCACGGCCCUUACGUCCGGGGCGACACACGUGUUACAAUGGGGGGUACAGAGGGCAGCGACCGGGCGACCGGAAGCGAAUCUCCAAAAGCCCCUCUCAGUUCGGAUCGGAGUCUGCAACCCGACUCCGUGAAGCUGGAUUCGCUAGUAAUCGCGCAUCAGCCAUGGCGCGGUGAAUACGUUCCCGGGCCUUGUACACACCGCCCGUCAAGCCAUGGGAGCCUGGGGGACCUGAAGUCCGGGACCGCGAGGACCGGCCUAGGGUAAAACGGGUGACUGGGGCUA